Molecule: ribosomal RNA, 460 nt
Filed under: uncultured bacterium
Lineage: Bacteria
Description: partial 16S ribosomal RNA
Rfam family: Bacterial small subunit ribosomal RNA
Source: RNAcentral
CCUACGGGUGGCUGCAGUGAGGAAUAUUGGUCAAUGGGCGGAAGCCUGAACCAGCCAAGUCGCGUGAGGGAAUAAGGCCCUACGGGUCGUAAACCUCUUUUGCCGGGGAGCAAGGGCGGGGACGUGUCCCGGCCCGGAGAGUACCCGGAGAAAAAGCAUCGGCUAACUCCGUGCCAGCAGCCGCGGUAAUACGGAGGAUGCGAGCGUUAUCCGGAUUUAUUGGGUUUAAAGGGUGCGCAGGCGGAGGUGCAAGUCAGCGGUCAAAUUGCGAGGCUCAACCCCGUACUGCCGUUGAAACUGCAUCCCUUGAGUGCGCGAGAAGUAUGCGGAAUGCGUGGUGUAGCGGUGAAAUGCAUAGAUAUCACGCAGAACUCCGAUUGCGAAGGCAGCAUACCGGCGCGCAACUGACGCUCAUGCACGAAAGCGUGGGUAUCGAACAGGAUUAGAUACCCCUGUAGUC